GACGAACGCUGGCGGCGUGCCUAAUACAUGCAAGUAGAACGCUGAAGAGAGGAGCUUGCUCUUCUUGGAUGAGUUGCGAACGGGUGAGUAACGCGUAGGUAACCUGCCUUGUAGCGGGGGAUAACUAUUGGAAACGAUAGCUAAUACCGCAUAACAAUGGAUGACACAUGUCAUUUAUUUGAAAGGGGCAAUUGCUCCACUACAAGAUGGACCUGCGUUGUAUUAGCUAGUAGGUGAGGUAAUGGCUCACCUAGGCGACGAUACAUAGCCGACCUGAGAGGGUGAUCGGCCACACUGGGACGGAGACACGGCCCAGACUCCUACGGGAGGCAGCAGGAGGGAAUCUUCGGCAAUGGGGGCAACCCUGACCGAGCAACGCCGCGUGAGUGAAGAAGGUUGUCGGAUCGUAAAGCUCUGUUGUAAGUCAAGAACGGGUGUGAGAGUGGAAAGUUCACACUGUGACGGUAGCUUACCAGAAAGGGACGGCUAACUACGUG
Molecule: ribosomal RNA, 497 nt
Filed under: uncultured bacterium
Lineage: Bacteria
Description: partial 16S ribosomal RNA
Rfam family: Bacterial small subunit ribosomal RNA
Source: RNAcentral